AAAGGAAUUGACGGGGACCCGCACAAGCAGCGGAGCAUGUGGUUUAAUUCGACGCAACGCGAAGAACCUUACCAAGGCUUGACAUCCCCUUGACAGAUGCAGAAAUGUGUCCUCUCCUUCGGGAGCAAGGGAGACAGGUGGUGCAUGGUUGUCGUCAGCUCGUGUCGUGAGAUGUUGGGUUAAGUCCCGCAACGAGCGCAACCCUUGUCAUUAGUUGCCAUCAUUAAGUUGGGCACUCUAGUGAGACUGCCGGUGAUAAACCGGAGGAAGGUGGGGAUGACGUCAAAUCAUCAUGCCCCUUACGUCUUGGGCUACACACGUGCUACAAUGGUCGGAACAAAGGGAAGCGAAAGGGUGACCUGGAGCAAAACCUCAUAAACCGAUCCCAGUUCGGAUUGCAGGCUGCAACUCGCCUGCAUGAAGUCGGAGUUGCUAGUAAUCGCGAAUCAGAACGUCGCGGUGAAUACGUUCCCGGGUCUUGUACACACCGCCCGU
This 495-nucleotide ribosomal RNA is filed under the name uncultured bacterium. Its description in RNAcentral is "bacterial SSU rRNA". It matches the Rfam family "Bacterial small subunit ribosomal RNA", at positions 903 to 1397 of the family's 1533-position model. The record is from RNAcentral.